This is a long non-coding RNA of Saccostrea cuccullata (small rock oyster), 1541 nucleotides long. RefSeq lists it as uncharacterized. The record is from RefSeq and is a predicted model, not a curated record. The transcript is spliced from 4 exons. Lineage: Eukaryota; Metazoa; Mollusca; Bivalvia; Ostreida; Ostreidae.
UCUACUAGACAGCAUGCGAUUGUUGUACCGCAGGAAGAGAGACGAGAUGAUGUAGAUGAAUAAAGAAGACAAGCCAUCAACAGGAAGAUAAUCCAUACAUUGAGAGCCUUAGACCUGGGUUACAACUUGUGUUUAUUUUGAGGUAACAAUAUUAAAAGAUGGCCCCAACUCAGGUGAGGACUUUACUGUAUUUCUUAAUGAAUCAAAAUCAUUUCUUUCAGGAAUUCCUCCUAGUCAUAUGGAUAAAGCUAACAGAUUGUACUAACCCCCUCUUGCACACCUCCCCUCCCUUCAUGCCUGUAUGUUUUGUUGAAUAUUUAUGACUGUUUACUAAUCAUAUGUUGAUUUUUGUCGGGCAGCAGGCAGUUGAUGCCUAACAAGAUUGGAAGAUGGACAUGACUGAUAGAAAGAAGACAAACCAUCAAUAACAAAAUGAACUGUGCAUCUAGAGCCUUGUUGUAAUGAGACAACUAACCAGGUAAGCAUGCAGUUGCUACCCAACAGGAAGAGAGAAGAUGACUGGAAGAGUAGAGACAAGCCAUCACCAGGAAGGUUAAUCCCAGACAUCAAGAAUCUCAGACAAAGGAUGGGUACCUGUAUUUAUUUUGAGGUAACACAGUAAAAAAAAGUGGCCCUAAUUCAGGUGAGGACUUGACAGUUUUUUAUUGAAUCAACAUUAUUUCAAUCAGGAAUUCCUCCCAAUCAUAUGGAUAAAGCUAACUUGAUACUAACCCCCUCUUGCACACCCUCCCCUCCCCUCAUGCCUGUUAUGUUUUUGUUGAAUAUUUAUGACUGUUUACUAAUCAUAUGUUGAUUUUUGUCGGGCAGCAGGCAGUUGAUGCCUAACAAGAAAGAGGAAGAGAGAAAUGAUAGAAAGAAGACAAACCAUCAACAACAAAAUGAACUGUGCAUCUAGAGCCUUGUUGUAAUGAGACAACUAACCAGCAUGCAGUUGCUACCCAUCAGGAAGAGAGAAGAGACAAGCCAUCACCAGGAAGGUUAAUCCCAGACAUCAUGAAUCUCAGAGGAAGGAUGGGUACCUGUAUUUAUUUUGAGGUAACACAGUAAAAAAAUAAAGUGGCCCUAAUUCAGGUGAGGACUUGACAGUUUUUUAUUGAAUCAACAUUAUUUCUAUCAGGAAUUCCUCCCAGUCAUAUGGAUAAAGCUAACUUGAUACUAACCCCCUCUUGCACACCCUCCCCUCCCCUCAUGCCUGUUAUGUUUUGUUGAAUAUUUAUGACUGUUUACUAAUCAUAUGUUGAUUUAUGUCGGGCAGCAGGCAGUUGAUGGAUAACAAGAAAGAGGAAGAGGGAAAUGAUUGAUAGAAAGAAGACAAACCAUCAACAACAAAAUGAACUGUGCAUCUAGAGCCUUGUUGUAAUGAAACAACUAACCAGGACAGCAUGCAGUUGCUACCCAACAGGAAGAGAGAAGACGACUGGAAGAGAAGAGACAAGCCAUCACCAGGAAGGUUAAUCUCAUACAUCAAGAAUCUCAGACGAAGGAUGGGUACCUGUAUUUAUUUUGAGGUAACACAGUAA